UACGAAGGGUGCAAGCGUUACUCGGAAUUACUGGGCGUAAAGCGUGCGUAGGUGGUUUGUUAAGUCUGAUGUGAAGGCCCUGGGCUCAACCUGGGAACGGCAUUGGAAACUGGCUUACUAGAGUGCGGUAGAGGGGUGUGGAAUUCCCGGUGUAGCAGUGAAAUGCGUAGAUAUCGGGAGGAACAUCUGUGGCGAAGGCGACACCUUGGACCAGCACUGACACUGAGGCACGAAAGCGUGGGGAGCAAACAGG
RNAcentral lists this ribosomal RNA (253 nucleotides) under uncultured bacterium. RNAcentral's name for it is "partial 16S ribosomal RNA". It matches the Rfam family "Bacterial small subunit ribosomal RNA", at positions 524 to 776 of the family's 1533-position model. The record is from RNAcentral.